ACUUCCCCCUCCAUCCCUUCUACUCUAAAAAUCGGUGGUAGGAUUUUUAAAAUAUCCUCAGGUAAGGAUUUAAAAAAAAAAAAGAAUAGCACAUGAGAUUUAUGUUUCAGCCAAGAUUGUUGGCUUAAUGUGGAAUUGUUGAACCUGUGGAAAUAGUGGAAGAUACUGAGUAAUUUCAUAAAUAACUUGAGCACAUAGUUCAAAUGGUAUUUCACCAGCAGUAGAAUGGGUCAUAGGCAAAAAAAAAAAUAA
This is a long non-coding RNA of Pipistrellus kuhlii (Kuhl's pipistrelle), 252 nucleotides long. RefSeq lists it as uncharacterized. The transcript is spliced from 2 exons. Lineage: Eukaryota; Metazoa; Chordata; Mammalia; Chiroptera; Vespertilionidae. The record is from RefSeq and is a predicted model, not a curated record.